RNAcentral lists this small nucleolar RNA (80 nucleotides) under Propithecus coquereli (Coquerel's sifaka). Lineage: Eukaryota; Metazoa; Chordata; Mammalia; Primates; Indriidae. The record is from RNAcentral.
CAGUGGAGCACCGUGGAAGCCUCACCCAAGAAGUCAGCAGGGCUUCAGUUAGCUCACGUCAUGGGUGCUUCCAGACGUUA